Mastomys coucha (southern multimammate mouse) is the source of this 542-nucleotide long non-coding RNA. RefSeq lists it as uncharacterized. Lineage: Eukaryota; Metazoa; Chordata; Mammalia; Rodentia; Muridae. The transcript is spliced from 4 exons. The record is from RefSeq and is a predicted model, not a curated record.
CAGAAAAUAUGUAAAAUUUGUGAGCAACAUGGAUAAGUUAGAUCUCUGCAAACUAUAGAGGAUAAAGUAAAUGGGAUUUAUUUCAAUGGUGAAUUUCAAGAAGUACAUGUACAUUACAACUAAAGAUGGAGGAGCCUGCCAGUCACAACUCCAGUACCUGACUUAAAGACAUAACUCUAGAAUGAAAACACCAAGUAGUAUUUUAUGAAUGAAUUGCGUGAGAUUUUCAGGUGGAACCAAAAACCAAAGAGGCUUUUUACGAGUCACAAUCACAGUUCUAAAAGGCUAAAAAAUGAAGGCUGGGUCUGCACCUUAGAAAAAGAUGCCUGUGAUUGGUCAAGAGGACACAGCAGACCUCGCAACCCACCCUGUGCUCUCCCUUCCAUCGACACUGACGCCUUGGAAAUAAUUGUGAUCUGGCUGUAAAGUUCUUGCUGGCAUAGCACUUACUACAUAAACCAGGCUGGCCUCAAACAGAAACCCACUGGCAUCUGCAUCCUGAGAGCUGAUAUUAAACGUGGGCUCUGCCCUUGCUCAUCAGA